RNAcentral lists this ribosomal RNA (800 nucleotides) under Alteromonas sp. Its description in RNAcentral is "bacterial SSU rRNA". It matches the Rfam family "Bacterial small subunit ribosomal RNA", at positions 66 to 863 of the family's 1533-position model. The record is from RNAcentral. Lineage: Bacteria; Pseudomonadati; Pseudomonadota; Gammaproteobacteria; Alteromonadales; Alteromonadaceae.
ACGGUAACAUGUCUAGCUUGCUAGAAGAUGACGAGUGGCGGACGGGUGAGUAAUGCUUGGGAACUUGCCUUUGCGAGGGGGAUAACAGUUGGAAACGACUGCUAAUACCGCAUAAUGUCUUCGGACCAAACGGGGCUUCGGCUCCGGCGCAAAGAGAGGCCCAAGUGAGAUUAGCUAGUUGGUAAGGUAACGGCUUACCAAGGCGACGAUCUCUAGCUGUUCUGAGAGGAAGAUCAGCCACACUGGGACUGAGACACGGCCCAGACUCCUACGGGAGGCAGCAGUGGGGAAUAUUGCACAAUGGGGGAAACCCUGAUGCAGCCAUGCCGCGUGUGUGAAGAAGGCCUUCGGGUUGUAAAGCACUUUCAGUUGUGAGGAAAAGUUAGUAGUUAAUACCUGCUAGCCGUGACGUUAACAACAGAAGAAGCACCGGCUAACUCCGUGCCAGCAGCCGCGGUAAUACGGAGGGUGCGAGCGUUAAUCGGAAUUACUGGGCGUAAAGCGCACGCAGGCGGUUUGUUAAGCUAGAUGUGAAAGCCCCGGGCUCAACCUGGGAUGGUCAUUUAGAACUGGCAGACUAGAGUCUUGGAGAGGGGAGUGGAAUUCCAGGUGUAGCGGUGAAAUGCGUAGAUAUCUGGAGGAACAUCAGUGGCGAAGGCGACUCCCUGGCCAAAGACUGACGCUCAUGUGCGAAAGUGUGGGUAGCGAACAGGAUUAGAUACCCUGGUAGUCCACACCGUAAACGCUGUCUACUAGCUGUGUGUGCCUUUAAGACGUGCGUAGCGAAGCUAACGCGCUAA